GUCCAUGUGGCGAAACUGGCAAACGCAGCGGUCUCAGAUACCGUGCCGAGAGGCAUUGAGGGUUCGAUUCCCUCCGUGGACA
Molecule: transfer RNA, 82 nt
Filed under: Polyangium sp. y55x31
Lineage: Bacteria; Pseudomonadati; Myxococcota; Polyangiales; Polyangiaceae
Description: tRNA-Leu
Rfam family: tRNA
About the family: Transfer RNA (tRNA) molecules are approximately 80 nucleotides in length.
Source: RNAcentral